Molecule: ribosomal RNA, 782 nt
Filed under: uncultured bacterium
Lineage: Bacteria
Description: bacterial SSU rRNA
Rfam family: Bacterial small subunit ribosomal RNA
Source: RNAcentral
UCGGGAGGUAGCAAUAUCGACCGGUCGGAGUGGCGCAAGGGUGCGUAAUACGUGGGUAAUUUGCCGUGAAGUCUGGAAUAACCUGCUGAAAGGCAAGCUAAUGCCGGAUGAGAUCGCUGACGAGCAUUCGUUGGCGAUGAAAGUUGGGGUCGCAAGACCUGACGUUUCACGAUAAGCCCGCGGCCUAUCAGCUAGUUGGCGAGGUAAAGGCUCACCAAGGCUAAGACGGGUAGCUGGUCUGAGAGGACGACCAGUCACACUGGAACUGAGACACGGUCCAGACACCUACGGGUGGCAGCAGUCGAGAAUUUUUCACAAUGGGCGAAAGCCUGAUGGAGCGACGCCGCGUGGGGGAUGAAUGGCUUCGGCCCGUAAACCCCUGUCAUUUGCGAACAAUGCGUCCCCGUGAACAACGGGAGGCGUUGAUAGUAGCAGAAGAGGAAGAGACGGCUAACUCUGUGCCAGCAGCCGCGGUAAUACAGAGGUCUCAAGCGUUGUUCGGAUUUACUGGGCGUAAAGGGUGUGUAGGCGGUUGGGUAAGUCUGAAGUGAAAUCUCUAGCUCAACUUAGAAAAUGCUUCGGAUACUAUCCGGCUAGAGGGUCGGAGAGGAGAUCGGAAUUCUCGGUGUAGCAGUGAAAUGCGUAGAUAUCGAGAGGAACAUCAGUGGCGAAAGGCGGAUCUCUGGACGAAUCCUGACGCUGAGGCACGAAAGCCAGGUAGCAACGGGAUUAGAUACCCCGGUAGUCCUGGCUGUAAACGGUGCGCACUUGCUGUGAGCGGA